AGGGUUUGAUUAUGGCUCAGGAUGAACGCUGGCGGCGUGCUUAACACAUGCAAGUCGAACGAGGGCGAUAGCAAUAUUGCCCGAGUGGCGGACGGGUGAGUAACGCGUGAACAAUCUGCCUGUAUCAGGGGAAUAACACUAAGAAAUUGGUGCUAAUACCGCAUAAGACCACGGAGAGGCAUCUCCCCGGGGUAAAAGAAUAAUCGGAUACAGAUGAGUUCGCGUCCCAUUAGGUAGUUGGUGAGGUAACGGCCCACCAAGCCGACGAUGGGUAGCCGACCUGAGAGGGUGAUCGGCCACAUUGGAACUGAGAGACGGUCCAG
RNAcentral lists this ribosomal RNA (323 nucleotides) under uncultured bacterium. RNAcentral describes it as "bacterial SSU rRNA". It matches the Rfam family "Bacterial small subunit ribosomal RNA", at positions 8 to 334 of the family's 1533-position model. The record is from RNAcentral.